UACGGAGGAUGCGAGCGUUAUCCGGGUUUAUUGGGUUUAAAGGGUGCGCAGGCGGCACGGCAAGCCGGCGGUCAAAUCGCGGGGCUCAACCCCGCCCAGCCGUCGGAACUGCCGGGCUAGAGUGGGCGAGAAGUGCGCGGAAUGCGUGGUGUAGCGGUGGAAUGCAUAGAUAUCACGCAGAACUCCGAUUGCGAGGGCAGCGCACCGGCGCCCUACUGACGCUCAGGCACGAAAGCGUGGGUAUCGAACAGG
Molecule: ribosomal RNA, 252 nt
Filed under: uncultured bacterium
Lineage: Bacteria
Description: partial 16S ribosomal RNA
Rfam family: Bacterial small subunit ribosomal RNA
Source: RNAcentral